This 253-nucleotide ribosomal RNA is filed under the name uncultured bacterium. Its description in RNAcentral is "partial 16S ribosomal RNA". It matches the Rfam family "Bacterial small subunit ribosomal RNA", at positions 524 to 776 of the family's 1533-position model. The record is from RNAcentral.
UACAGAGGGUGCGAGCGUUAAUCGGAAUUACUGGGCGUAAAGCGCACGUAGGUGGAUAUUUAAGUCGAAAGUGAAAGCCCUGGGCUUAACCUAGGAAUUGCCUUCGAUACUGGAUGUCUAGAGUAUGGUAGAGGAUAGUGGAAUUUCCGGUGUAGCGGUGAAAUGCGUAGAUAUCGGAAGGAACACCAGUGGCGAAGGCGGCUAUCUGGACCAAUACUGACACUUAGGUGCGAAAGCGUGGGGAGCAAACAGG